AUGAGGAAAGGAGCAGGAGAGCCUCCCCUCCUAAACAGCCCAGGAGAAGAGGCUUUACAGUUGAAUUCUCCCUCUGCAAUGAUAAUAACACAAGAGCCUGUCCUGCUUCCAGGAAUUGUCGUACUGCACCAGCAAAUCAGCAUUUCUUCAAUUGUAGCAUCUUUCCUGGAAAUAGUGUUACAUGACAUGCCCUCGCUGCCUGUCUCGGUGUGAAUGAGAAUACAGCAAAGCUCAUGUUUUCCAUUGUUGAAAUACGAGCAUAAAUCUUUCACUAAUGCACUGCUGUCUUUUAUUAUAACAGUCACUGCAGCAGAGAAAGGUACGUCAAAUCUCUCCUUGUUGGUACAGUCAGUUGUUGGCAUUGCCCUGACACGUUGUUUCUUUCCUUAAAAUGGCUUUGUAAAGGGACUGAAAUGAGUUGCUCAGCCUUUGGCAGCACCUUUGUGUGUUUUGACAAAUCUGAGCCUUCAAUGUUGUAGGUAUGAAGGUUCAAAACAGUGGGGAGAGAGAGCUGGAAUGAAAGGUUUUGACAAAAGCCAGGCCCAAGUCAGAAAUGACGGUUCUGGAUCUCUUUAUCAGGGCAGAUCCUGCUCUGAUACCUGCAUGAGGUGAGGGAUGAGGGCAGGGCCUGGCAAGGGAUAACCCUUUGGUGGUGGGAUGGCUGGGAUCAUCCAUCCCAUGCCUUCAGGUGUUUGUCCACAUCCUCUGCCUCACCUGCUGACCUGGAGAGCCACGUCCUCCCUGGCAGGAACCUCACUCCAGCCUGAGGAUGCCAAUUUGCAGGACCUGAGGGUAACAGCUAACUCCAAAUCAGCUGUUCUCUGCGAGGGACAGAUUUGGGCUGACCCAUGAGGGUGUGAGGUCCUCCCCAAAAGGCUGCAAAGCGUUUGGCAGAGAUGUGAGGAAGCAGAAAGUGUUUGGAAAAGCUCCUUGCCAUUUUUUAGGUUUUUUUCCUUGACGCUGCACAAGAUAUUUUACAGCCUUUGUGAGUCUGUAGAGAGGCUGGUUUCUGGCAUGGGGUGUGCUGGAGCCUCAGGAGUGCAGCUGGUCUUUAAAACCAGCUUUAUAGGAAAGAAAUUUUCUGGUCCCGCUGGAAGGAGGUAUGGUCUUGUGACACUUAGUGGAAAUAGAGCAGGUAUAGUUUGGUCAAAUGGGGAGUAUUUCCAAGGAAACAUAAGUUUUUUUACAGUGUCCCAAAGCUGAGGCAAGUCCAAAAUUUUCAGUUCAAUUGUCCUGCUUUCCCAGGCUAAUUUUAUAAGGAGGCCCUAAAAUGUGAAUGAGGAGUGAUCUUGUUCAGCCUGAAAAAUAAAAUUAACGCCAGUAUGAGAAGGGCUGAAUCC
RNAcentral lists this long non-coding RNA (1340 nucleotides) under Cyanistes caeruleus (blue tit). RNAcentral's name for it is "lncRNA (ENSCCEG00000020999.1)". Lineage: Eukaryota; Metazoa; Chordata; Aves; Passeriformes; Paridae. The record is from RNAcentral.